Gossypium arboreum is the source of this 589-nucleotide long non-coding RNA. RefSeq lists it as uncharacterized. The transcript has 2 exons. NCBI's taxonomy places the organism in Eukaryota, Viridiplantae, Streptophyta, Magnoliopsida, Malvales, Malvaceae. The record is from RefSeq and is a predicted model, not a curated record.
UUUAGACAUUCAACAGAAAAAAAAAAGGUUAAAGCUCUAAAAUUCUCUCAGAGCUCUGGCUAGUGGCCGUCCUGGCUCAUCCCAGAGUGCCACCACCUUUAGCGUCACGUGCUUCACGCGCCACUGCCUGAGCCACCGUGCUCGGCGGUUAUGGUUCAGAAAAAACUCCCCUUUCUCUCGCAACACAGCAGGUAUCUAGCGAGGAAAUCAGUGGGCCAGGAUGAUUAGGCCCUGAUGACGAAGGUGUUGGCGCUGAUUUGCAUUCAUUCGUCUUCAACUACGGCUAGAUUUGAGGCCUGGAAUCACGGCGCCGAUGGGGGUAGAUGGAACGACCGAGGUUGAAGAGGCGUGACUGAUGGGGUGAUUACGGCGCGAAGCUUCUGGAAACCCUAGGGUUUCCAGAUUCUGUUUAGGCAUUGGGCCUCAUUUUGGUUGGGUCUUGUUUGGGUCUGGGUGUAACUGGUUAAUAAAUUUUGGGCCAAAGGUUUAGGCUAAUUGGGUUGUAAGCGGGUGCUGGGUUUUGGUAUUUGGGCCUUUGUAAAUUGGACUGUAAUGGACUUUUUAAAUAAAUAAAUAUUUAUUUAUCCAA